Molecule: long non-coding RNA, 1118 nt
Organism: Corvus hawaiiensis (hawaiian crow)
Lineage: Eukaryota; Metazoa; Chordata; Aves; Passeriformes; Corvidae
Exons: 5
Source: RefSeq, a predicted model, not a curated record
UUUAAGACAGUGCUUCAGAAAACCCGUGAAAUCGUGCUCCAAAGCCUCCUGAUGCUGAGAAAGGAAAUUGCCCGAGAUCCUCAGCUUUGUGCCCCAAGAUGGCUGCUGGGUCUUUGAGGCCCAGGCCCUGAGGGAGGCGGCGGCCGGGCCCAGGGGAGCUCUGGGGGGCGUUUUCGAAGCCUCCCGGCCCAGUGGGGCUCGCGGUUCGGUUUUGCUUGGCCAGCUUGGUUUUCGUGACCCAAGCAAAAGCUUUUCCCUUACCUGGAUCGGAGGCUCUGCAGCGGCAAUCCUCCAGGUGCCUUGCGGUGAAGCGAGGCGGGAGCAGCGGCACCGGCGGAGCGCGGCCGCCCCGGUCCGGCCCCAAGCCGGGGAGAGAAAACCCAACGAGAGCUUCCAGCCCGGCUCUCCGCCUGCCGUGGCUGCCGUGGAGAGGAGCUCGACGCCAGAGAACCACCAGGUCCUUGCUUCUUGCUGGAGCUGCUCCGUGGAAGCUGCGCUCCCCUCAGAGAGAAAGCCCGCGCCGUGUCGCGCCACGGGGCAGCGAGGGGGACUCCGUCAGCAUUUGCCCCGCUCCCCGGGACCUUUUGGGUCUGUGCUCCUCUGUGUGUGCGGGGCGAGGGGUAAAAAGAAUUUACAUCAAGAACUGAAUACAGGAUCUGGAGGAAAUGGUAGAGAUGGAGAAGGACCAGCUAUAAGUACCAGAAGGUGCACACCAAGACAGUGAAGAAAAGGCAGAUGUUGUUGUAGAGCCCGUCCAGCAAGUGACUCAGGGGCACCAGCAGAGCUGUGACAGUUCCAUAUCUCACCUGCUUUGGCAGUGGUUUCUGCAGAGAUCCAGGUCCCUGGAAUUUUUUGCCAUUCCAGUCGAUGCAGCAAGGCAUUUCAUCUUUGAGAAAAGGGCCAGUUAUUUCUGCUCUGGGAAAGCUCCCAAAUGAGCACAUCCUCUUGCCCCCAAGGCCAAGGUGAUCACCAUUCUCAGUGAUCCACAGGCCCAAGCAUACUCCUGGUAACACGGGACCUGAUCCAAACCUAAUUGCAGUCAAAGGUAGAGCUCCAGUAGUUGAUAAAAUAUGCUAAUCUACUAACUUCAGUUAAAAUGAGUAUUGGAAAGAAGAUUU